RNAcentral lists this long non-coding RNA (2061 nucleotides) under Anser cygnoides (Swan goose). Its description in RNAcentral is "lncRNA (ENSACDG00005001998.1)". Lineage: Eukaryota; Metazoa; Chordata; Aves; Anseriformes; Anatidae. The record is from RNAcentral.
AUGGCUGAGCUUUUAACAGAAGCACCUUGGUUCCUUCAUACUUGCUGCAGCGAGCACAGUGAUAUUCGGAUACCCAAAGGAGGAGGUAGUGGCAGUUCGCAAAAGAAGAUGAUCACUGCUGUCUGGAACUGGUCUGCUGUGGACGAAUUGAAGAGGCAAGUGAAUGCAGUAUUUUAUGCCGGCUUUGGAUGGGUUUUCUACCUGGACUUCUUUGUGUCUGACUUCCAUGUCUGCCCAUACAUCCGUUUGGAGAACAGCUUACAGCAGCAGAGCAGCCAGGAAGCAGCUCAGCUUCAGGACUUGCACACCAAACUUAAUAGGAUCAUUUACUACUGUGGAUUUCUUCCUAGAAGAAUUGACUGGCUUGUCCUUUGAAAUCUGCUAAAAAAUGACUACAGGCAGGCUGCCGUUUCCUCUCCUAGGGAAGCGAGGCCUCCCCAAGGCACCCGCCGCACCAAAACAGUGGGAUUAGAGCUGCCUACAGGCAGAGCAGGCAGCACAGAAUGCUCCCUGUGGCUGGGAUCCUGCUGGACAGAGUUUGGUGGCUGUGGCCAUACUGGAGAAGAGUCUCAGCACAUGGAAAUUGAUCUGAUUUGUCUCCAUAAAUUUCCAUACAUUUUUGCAUACAGCUGUGAGUGUGGCUCAGACCUGUAACCGAAGGUCCUGGUGACUCGGAAAGAGGUGAGGACUGUGGGCAGGGUUAUUCAUGCGUUGCCUGUCCACCAGGGAUGGGGACAAUAUCAAUAUCACACUAAUGACAAGGCUGUGAGUGCUCCGUGAGACAAGAGGUGAUUCAGCUAACCACAACAAAACAGUUUUAUGUAGAAAGUGUUAGCCUGUUGAAUUGGGGGAAAAUGUGUCACAGUAAUAUAAAGCCACAGCUGCUGUGGCAAUUUACCAAGGAAGUCAAAAACAGCAUCUUAGGUAAAUGGCUGGGGGCUAGCAUGGGGGAAGUCUAUUAGUAUGCUGUUGUCCCAGGGCAGGAGAAGAGCUUAGUGUGUGCUCAGUCUGCUUCUGGAUAUCGGGUGAAAGAGCCAGUCGUGUGCUAGGCNNNNNNNNNNNNNNNNNNNNNNNNNAGUUUGUUUGCUUCAGUGUCUUCAAUGAGAAUACAAAUGUCUGUGAAGAGGAGGAAUUAAAGUUUGCUUGCUCUAAUACAGCUAAUAGUCACUGGAAAUUUUCUAGCUACCCUUUACCCUCCAGUAUCUGAGUUUUGCCUUUAUCAGUUUAUUUAAAUGCCAGUAAAAUAUAAAAGCAAAGAUUUAAUUUCUUCUGGCCACAUGGUGUCUAAAGCUUUCCUCGCAGGUUCUCUGUGCUCACUGUAAUUGGCAGAGAUGCCAUCCUUCAUAUCCUGGAUUGGAGAUAGUAAAAUGAACCUGAACUGACAUGAGAGAGUGUAUCCGCAAUGAAAAAGUCCUGGAUCCCUGGGUUUAAGUUGUCAAAACUCCAAAACUCCUUCAGGGAUCUAAACAGCACUGCUUUGCUAAUACAUAUGUACACUAGGGUGUUCCUCCUCAAUUUUAUGUGGGGUUUCCACUUUUAUCCAGUGACAUGCGAAUACUAUAUAUAAUUCUCUUUUAUUCUUCUUUUGUACUGAAUACACGAAACAGGUAAAAUAGUAUGAACAAAAGUAAUCAUCUAGUCAUUUUACUGCAUCAUAUGCAAAAGCCAGCUGAUAUAUUCUAAGAUGCAGAACAAAAGAAAGGAGGAGGAGAAAGAUCGUUUCUAAAACUCUGAUUUCUCCAAAGAUCUGCCAACGUUUUUUUUCUUAAAGGAAGUUUGAUAUCAGUGCCUGUCAUGUCCACUACGUUUUGCCAGUGGAAAGGGCGGUACUGAUCCUUUGAUUUGAAAUUAAAUAGAUAUAUAAGGCUUCAGUUUUAAAAUAACAAGGUUUUUCACUGGUAAAGAAAUCUUGUUUCCUCUGUUCCUGCUCUCUGACAGUUGGUUGGCAGAGAAGGGAGGAAUAAUAAGUUUUAAUUAUAUCUCCCCAAACAAGCAGAUUUGAAAGCAAUGCAGGGAUUACAUGAGAAUAAAAUCCCUUCAAGCAUUAACUGUCGCUGGUAA